This 935-nucleotide ribosomal RNA is filed under the name Pediococcus acidilactici. Its description in RNAcentral is "bacterial SSU rRNA". It matches the Rfam family "Bacterial small subunit ribosomal RNA", at positions 46 to 936 of the family's 1533-position model. The record is from RNAcentral. Lineage: Bacteria; Bacillati; Bacillota; Bacilli; Lactobacillales; Lactobacillaceae.
GCUGCUANUACAUGCAGUCGAACGAACUUCCGUUAAUUGAUUAUGGAGGUGCUUGCACUGAAUGAGAUUUUAAUAUGAAGUGAGUGGCGGACGGGUGAGUAACACGUGGGUAACCUGCCCAGAAGCAGGGGAUAACACCUGGAAACAGAUGCUAAUACCGUAUAACAGAGAAAACCGCCUGGUUUUCUUUUAAAAGAUGGCUCUGCUAUCACUUCUGGAUGGACCCGCGGCGCAUUAGCUAGUUGGUGAGGUAACGGCUCACCAAGGCGAUGAUGCGUAGCCGACCUGAGAGGGUAAUCGGCCACAUUGGGACUGAGACACGGCCCAGACUCCUACGGGAGGCAGCAGUAGGGAAUCUUCCACAAUGGACGCAAGUCUGAUGGAGCAACGCCGCGUGAGUGAAGAAGGGUUUCGGCUCGUAAAGCUCUGUUGUUAAAGAAGAACGUGGGUGAGAGUAACUGUUCACCCAGUGACGGUAUUUAACCAGAAAGCCACGGCUAACUACGUGCCAGCAGCCGCGGUAAUACGUAGGUGGCAAGCGUUAUCCGGAUUUAUUGGGCGUAAAGCGAGCGCAGGCGGUCUUUUAAGUCUAAUGUGAAAGCCUUCGGCUCAACCGAAGAAGUGCAUUGGAAACUGGGAGACUUGAGUGCAGAAGAGGACAGUGGAACUCCCNUGUGUAGCGGUGAAAUGCGUAGAUAUAUGGAAGAACAUCAGUGGCGAAGGCGGCUGUCUGGUCUGUAACUGACGCUGAGGCUCGAAAGCAUGGGUAGCGAACAGGAUUAGAUACCCUGGUAGUCCAUGCCGUAAACGAUGAUUACUAAGUGUUGGAGGGUUUCCGCCUCUUCAGUGCUGCAGCUAACGCAUUAAGUAAUCCGCUGGGGAGUACGACCGCAAGNUGAAACUCAAAGAUUGACGGGGGNCCGCACAGCGGUGGA